AGCAGCCGCGGUAAUUCCAGCUCCAAUAGCGUAUAUUAAAGUUGUUGCAGUUAAAAAGCUCGUAGUUGAAUUUCGGAAUCAAUGGAUCGGUCAUGCCACUCGGUGUGUACUGGUUUGAUUGGUUCUCACCUUCUAAGGAACCGUGAUGUCAUUAAUUUGGUGUCGCGGGGAAUUAGGACUGUUACCUUGAAAAAAUUAGAGUGUUUAAAGCAAGCUCACGCUUGAAUACAUUAGCAUGGAAUAAUGAAAUAGGACAUUGUAUUCUAUUUUGUUGGUUUCUAGGAUCGAUGUAAUGAUUAAUAGGGAUAGUUGGGGGCAUUAGUAUUCAAUUGUCAGAGGUGAAAUUCUUGGAUUUAUUGAAGACUAACUACUGCGAAAGCAUUUGCCAAGGAUGUUUUCAUUAAUCAAGAACGAAAGUUAGGGGAUCGAAGACGAUCAGAUACCGUCGUAGUCUUAACCAUAAACUAUGCCGACUAGGGAUCGGAUGAUGUUAAUUUUUUAAUGACUCAUUCGGCACCUU
RNAcentral lists this unclassified non-coding RNA (520 nucleotides) under uncultured Glomus. RNAcentral describes it as "SSU rRNA". It matches the Rfam family "Eukaryotic small subunit ribosomal RNA", at positions 569 to 1089 of the family's 1831-position model. The record is from RNAcentral. Lineage: Eukaryota; Fungi; Glomeromycota; Glomeromycetes; Glomerales; Glomeraceae.